Molecule: transfer RNA, 94 nt
Filed under: Caballeronia concitans
Lineage: Bacteria; Pseudomonadati; Pseudomonadota; Betaproteobacteria; Burkholderiales; Burkholderiaceae
Description: tRNA-Thr
Source: RNAcentral
GUCGCCGAAGCUGUACGGCUUCACGGUGAGCGGUUCGUACUCGUUCGCAGGCGUGCCUGACAGCGUCUAUCAGGGUUCGACCUGGUCGGCCGCG